Molecule: ribosomal RNA, 548 nt
Filed under: Pantoea sp. C12j
Lineage: Bacteria; Pseudomonadati; Pseudomonadota; Gammaproteobacteria; Enterobacterales; Erwiniaceae
Description: bacterial SSU rRNA
Rfam family: Bacterial small subunit ribosomal RNA
Source: RNAcentral
CAAGGUUAAAACUCAAAUGAAUUGACGGGGGCCCGCACAAGCGGUGGAGCAUGUGGUUUAAUUCGAUGCAACGCGAAGAACCUUACCUGGCCUUGACAUCCACGGAAUUCGGCAGAGAUGCCUUAGUGCCUUCGGGAACCGUGAGACAGGUGCUGCAUGGCUGUCGUCAGCUCGUGUUGUGAAAUGUUGGGUUAAGUCCCGCAACGAGCGCAACCCUUAUCCUUUGUUGCCAGCGAUUCGGUCGGGAACUCAAAGGAGACUGCCGGUGAUAAACCGGAGGAAGGUGGGGAUGACGUCAAGUCAUCAUGGCCCUUACGGCCAGGGCUACACACGUGCUACAAUGGCGCAUACAAAGAGAAGCGAACUCGCGAGAGCAAGCGGACCUCAUAAAGUGCGUCGUAGUCCGGAUCGGAGUCUGCAACUCGACUCCGUGAAGUCGGAAUCGCUAGUAAUCGUGGAUCAGAAUGCCACGGUGAAUACGUUCCCGGGCCUUGUACACACCGCCCGUCACACCAUGGGAGUGGGUUGCAAAAGAAGUAGGUAGCUUA